UACGGGAGGCAGCAGUGGGGAAUAUUGCACAAUGGGCGCAAAGCCUGAUGCAGCCAUGCCGCGUGUAUGAAGAAGGCCUUCGGGUUGUAAAGUACUUUCAGUCGUGAAGGAAGGUGUUAAGGUUAAUAACCUUAGCAAUUAGACGUUAGCGACAGAAGAAGCACCGGCUAACUCCGUGCCAGCAGCCGCGGUAAUACGGAGGGUGCGAGCGUUAAUCGGAAUUACUGGGCGUUAAAGGGCACGCAGGCGGUUAAUUAAGUUGGAUGUGAAAUCCCCGGGCUUAACCUGGGAAUGGCAUUCAAGACUGGUUAGCUAGAGUCUUGUAGAGGGGGUUAGAAUUCCAUGUGUAGCGGUGAAAUGCGUAGAGAUGUGGAGGAAUACCGGUGGCGAAGGCGGCCCCUGGACAAAGACUGACGCUCA
This 420-nucleotide ribosomal RNA is filed under the name uncultured bacterium. RNAcentral's name for it is "bacterial SSU rRNA". It matches the Rfam family "Bacterial small subunit ribosomal RNA", at positions 340 to 749 of the family's 1533-position model. The record is from RNAcentral.